Molecule: ribosomal RNA, 644 nt
Filed under: fungal sp. E14504K
Lineage: Eukaryota; Fungi
Description: eukaryotic LSU rRNA
Rfam family: 5.8S ribosomal RNA (bases 242-395)
Source: RNAcentral
CAUUAACGAAUAACUAUGGUGUUGGUUGUAGCUGGCUCCUCGGAGCAAUGUGCACGCCCGCCAUUUUUAUCUUUCCACCUGUGCACCGACUGUAGGUCUGGAUACCUCUCGCCUCCGGGCGGAUGCGAGGGUUGCUCGUAAGGGCUUCCCUUGAACUUCCAGGCUCUACGUCUUUUUACACACCCCAAUAGUAUGAUGCAGAAUGUAGUCAAUGGGCUUCUCAGCCUAUAAAACACUAUACAACUUUCAGCAACGGAUCUCUUGGCUCUCGCAUCGAUGAAGAACGCAGCGAAAUGCGAUAAGUAAUGUGAAUUGCAGAAUUCAGUGAAUCAUCGAAUCUUUGAACGCACCUUGCGCUCCUUGGUAUUCCGAGGAGCAUGCCUGUUUGAGUGUCAUUAAAUUCUCAACCUCACCAGUUUUCUGAACUGACUGAGGCUUGGAUGUGGGGGUUUGUGCAGGCUGCCUCACGGCGGUCUGCUCCCCUGAAAUGCAUUAGCGAGGUUCAUGCUGGACCUCCGUCUAUUGGUGUGAUAAUUAUCUACGCCGUGGACGAGGAUACAGACUCGCUUCUAAUCGUCCGCGAGGACAAUACCUUGACAAUUUGACCUCAAAUCAGGUAGGACUACCCGCUGAACUUAAGCAUA